This 492-nucleotide ribosomal RNA is filed under the name uncultured bacterium. Its description in RNAcentral is "partial 16S ribosomal RNA". It matches the Rfam family "Bacterial small subunit ribosomal RNA", at positions 29 to 507 of the family's 1533-position model. The record is from RNAcentral.
AAUGAACGCUGGCGGCAUGCCUAACACAUGCAAGUCGAACGGCAGCACAGUGAGCUUUUGCUCUUACGGGUGGCGCGUGGCGGACGUGUGACGAGUACAUCAUAUUCUACUUUUUCGUGGGUUAUAACGUAGGACAACUUCCUCUAACACCUCAUAUUUCCUACCGCUUAGAGCAGUGGAUCUUGGCACCUUUCUUGAUUCACUGAGCCGAUGUCGGAUUAGCUUGUUUGCGGGGUAAAGUCCCACCAUGGCAACGAUCCGUAGCUGGUCUGAGAGGAUGAUCCGCCACACUGGAACUGAGACACGGUCCAGACUCCUACGGGAGGCAGCAGUGGGGAAUAUUGGGCAAUGGGCGAAAGCCUGAUCCAGCCAUACCGCGUGGGUGAAGAAGGCCUUCGGGUUGUAAAGCCCUGUUGUUGGGAAAGAAAAGAAGCAGGUUAAUACCCGGCGGUUCUGACGGUACCCAAAGAAUAAGCACCGGCUAACUUCGUG